This 253-nucleotide ribosomal RNA is filed under the name uncultured bacterium. RNAcentral's name for it is "partial 16S ribosomal RNA". It matches the Rfam family "Bacterial small subunit ribosomal RNA", at positions 524 to 776 of the family's 1533-position model. The record is from RNAcentral.
UACGGAGGAUGCAAGCGUUAUCCGGAAUUAUUGGGCGUAAAGGGCUCGUAGGCGGUUUGUCGCGUCGGGAGUGAAAACACCGGGCUUAACUCGGUGCUUGCUUUCGAUACGGGCAGACUAGAGGCAUGCAGGGGAGAACGGAAUUCCUGGUGUAGCGGUGAAAUGCACAGAUAUCAGGAGGAACACCGGUGGCGAAGGCGGUUCUCUGGGCAUGUCCUGACGCUGAGGAGCGAAAGUGUGGGGAGCGAACAGG